This is a long non-coding RNA of Homo sapiens (human), 25603 nucleotides long. RefSeq lists it as uncharacterized. Lineage: Eukaryota; Metazoa; Chordata; Mammalia; Primates; Hominidae. The record is from RefSeq and is a predicted model, not a curated record. The transcript is spliced from 2 exons.
CGAUUCUCGUGCCUCAGCCUCCUGAGUAGCUGGGACUAUAGGAUUUCUCAGAAUUUUCUUGUGACUCUCCAAAGCAACAUGUAGAAUGCAGAAUGUCCUACAUUUUAUAUUUUCUCAGGUGGGUGAAAAUGUCUGUCAACAUCAUUUGGUCAGUGUUGUCUUAAGGAGAGGUAAAAAAAAAAAAGAAAUCCACCGUCAUAGGAGGCAAACAGAUAUUGAGGGAAAAUCAAUAAGCUACAUUUGGGGUCUCUAAAUUCCAGUCCCUUUUUAAACUGAUAGCUAUUGGGACCUUAGAGCCUGAAAUUUCUCAUUUGUAAAAUAUGGAGGAUAGAACUGAAUUAUCCCUAAGCUUUUUUCAUCCUUAUAAGCUGGUGACUGUUUUGUUCCAGAAGAGUUUUAAGAAUAAGAUACAAUACACAACACAUCAAAUGAAAAAUUGGUGAGGGUAAAAUGAGGCACAGAGAAUGUAAGGUAGAAAAGAUGGAAGAAGGAGGGAAGUUAUUAUGCAAAAUACAUUCUGUGAAAUCCUUCAUGGUUAAUAUGAUAGAACCAAAUUUGGUUCUAUGCUUUCUAAGGAACAGUUUGAAAAGGGAACUAUGACCACAGCUUUGUAAUUAACAGACUCCUAAACUAAAAACAAACAUUUUCCUAAAAGAAACAACUGUUCCCAGUUUGAACAAAUUUUUCCCAUGGCUUUUAACUCUGUGGUAUGGCCCUUUAGUCUUUUAGGUAGAAAUUUCAGCUCUGUGGUGGGAUGGCACCAAGAUUUGGAACCUCAGUAGAUACACUUCAUAGGUCUUGUGGAUACAUACAUUUAAUAUACAUCAUCCUCAUUUACGGAACCAUUACAUGUUGUAGCCCAGCCCAACUUGCGUAUAUGUGGAGGUGUUUGGGUCUUGACUCUGGACUCCGGAGUAUUCUCUCCAUCCUGGAGGGGCCGUGUGCCAGGAGCCCGGGGGUGUCAGCCGCUCUCCAGAUGGCCUCCUUUGUGCAUCCUCACAUCAGUUCUGGGUGCACCCUUCUCCUUCCUGCAUCUCUAACUUAGCAUUGGCCGAGCCUGGAUCGGGGUUUCCAACAGCCUUUUCACAAAAUCACAGCGAUGCAAAGCUGUCCCAGGGGUUUUGUGUUGUUCAGGGUGGUAAAGGUUCAAACCUAGGUUCUAUUUUUUAAGUAAUUAUUAAUAAAUAAAAUGAUAGCUUAAAUACGUUUUAGAAAAUAAUACUGCUUCAGGACCUCUUAAUGUAAGUGAAGCUAUUAGUGCCAGUCAGAUGAGUGAACAUGCUUAUGACUCACAUAAACACUGCAAGCCCCCAUGGGGGCUUUAAUUAGUUUUUAUAAUUAGUCAUUUACUGUUACUUUAUACAUAGAAUGGAUAACUGAUUACAGACAGUAAGCAGAAGAAGCAACUGAUGUUGUGACGAUUAUCAUUUGCAGUCAUCUGGUCAAAAUUCUUACAGACUUUUCAUGGUGUAGAUAAUGUUUUAUUUCCUAAACUGGGUGUGUAUUUCCUAAACCUGUGUUUAUUGCAUUAUUCUUUUAAUCUUAAAUAUCUUAAUGUAUUUGUGGAGUUUUAUAUUAGUCUAUUAGGACAUUUAUAUGGUAUAAAAUUCAAUGUUGAUAAAAGAAAAAGUAAUGAUAAUCAUAUGUAAUUUGACCUUGAUUUAUUAGAAAUAAAUAUCACUCAUACCCUCUGUCUUUCCCUCUCUCUCCCUUUUUUUCUCUCUCUUUCUCUCUCUCUCUCUCCUUACAUUGUUCCUGAUAAGCUGACAACAGAGUCAAAUGAAACACAAAUAUAUAUAUAUAUACUGCAGAGAAAUGCAUACAAACAGCAGCCUAAAGCUUUAUCUUGUCUCAUUAUUUUAUAAUUAAACACAAAAAUUAUUGCAGGUUGAUUAUUUUUGUCCAAAAUGCAAGAUUACCAAAUAUUCAUGAAUGAAAACUUUUAUCUCUUUAUCUAUCAUGACAUAUUAAUUGUAGCUUGAAAUUUAUAUAAUUGGUCCCAAAACCAAGUAUAUGCCCAUUUGUCAUUUCAAAAAUUUGUCAUUUCAAAAAUUUCAAAAACAAGUCAUGCAUUUCAUUACAUGAUGAAUUUAAAGUAGACUAAGUAGCACAUCACUGUUAAAUAAGAAAAAAGUCAAACUAGAAUUAGUAAAAUUUGUAUUUAAAUGAACUUGUUAAUGUAACCUUUAAUAAUAAUUAACUUAAAAUCAAGUAAUUUUACUUAAGGCACUUCUUAUGUGCCAUAAAAUUUUAAAAUAAUUAAAAUAUCUUCCAUGGAGGUUUGCAAAAGUUUAUGCAAGUCAAAAAACAUGAAAUCUUUAAAGAAGCCAGGAAAAGAUAUUAAAAUAAUUAUUUGUAUCCAAUUUAAAGAGAACCUUGCUGUUCUUGAGUAGAUUACUGGUAAUUGGAUAAUAUGAGGUCUGGUCAGUUGCAGAAGGGAGAUUAAAGGCCAAUGGGGUAGUCAGCUGAUUUGAAGAACAUGUUAUAAAGCAGUUCUUGCUGUGCUUUGCCCUGUCCACAUCAUAGAAAAAUCUCCUAUAAUUUCCUGUCCCAGCUCUCAGUGAAAAUCAGGGAUCACCUCUUCAAAUGAAUACUAAUCUUAAAUAUGUUAAACAAAUCCCUAUACUGUUUUUUAUGUUCUCUUUUUAUUGAAGAUAUACAUAGAUAUUCAUACUAUUUUGAAAUGCCAAUUAUAAAUUAGUACAAUUUUCCCAAUAAUAUAUGGGCAUUAUUGUGAAAUGAAAUACCUUUUACCUUUAAUAUAUGGAUUUAUGGACACUAUUGUGCCCAUAUAUUAUUUAGAAAAAAUAUAGUAAGUAAAUUUUACAUCUACUAUUACAUCCAAAUGUGGCUAACAAUUCAGAAUGACUUAGAUAAGCAUCGUUAUUUUCCAGCAAUAUUGACAUUGCUUGGCUGUUCCAAUUGUUAAUUUUAAAACCCAACUGUUAUCAGACUAACUAUGAUUUAAUAAAACUUUGGUAAAUGUCUAAAGGAGCCUUUCAGUAAAUAUGAUCUAAGGAAAAAGAAAUAUACAGAAAUGAAAUAACUUUUACAUUUGAUUAAUUGAAGUAAGUUGCAACAUUUUUCUGAAUUGCAGUUAGCUUUCAUUUUCAGACUUUGGAAGAACAAGUCAUUUGUACCAGGAAGUACAUGGUAAAGAACUAUGUUUGGCAACUUAGAGAACAUUUUUAGCAUUUGAAUUUCCCUAUUUAUAGUACAGCAUCAGGCAUAGUAAAAUGUUUGGCAUUUCUAUAAGGGAUGCAAAUGCCUUAACAUUCACUGUUGUGAUCUAACAAUUCAUUUCAGAGUAAGAUGAAUCAGUCUUGUUUGGAAAAUGUUUUACACAAAUACUGGCAAGGAAACUAUCACUGCAUUUCUGUGGAUUUUAAAAUGCAGACUCCUCUAAAGUAAAUGGUGACAAAUUGCACAAUGUUUUUUCUUUCUUCUGCGUUACCAUGCUUCUAUGUGAACUGACUUUUAUUACUUUAAAUUCUCACACUACUCUACUACAUUCCUUGCUUUUUAGAUUUUGUUAAUCCAUGCUGGAAUCAGAAACUCUGUUUCCAGGUCCUUCUAAAUGUCGAAUUCUUUUUAACCUAACCUUCCUUUAAUCCACAAUGUUUUCCUCAUAAUUGAAACCACAGAUUACUUCAUUAACAUCUGCCCUUUUCUUUUACAUUAGAGAACGUGAGAAUUGUAAUUUGUAGGAUUUUGCCCUUAAUUUGCUACAUAGAAAAGAAAUACUUGUAUUCUCCCUCUUUCUCUCUCUCUAUCACACACACACACAAACACAGAGGCACACACACACACACACACACAUGCACACACACACACACUUGAAGUAAUGAAAAAUGAGCAGACUAAAUGUAAUGCAGCAUCCUAGAUGGGAUCCUGGAACCAAAAAUAAAAGGACAUAGGGUGCAAACUAAGGAAAUCCAAAUAAUAAUAAUAAUGUACCGAUAUUGGUCCAUUAAUUGUAACACAUGUACCAUGCUGACGUAAGUUGUUAAUAAUAGACUAGAAAAAAUACAGCAAAUUCAUUUAUAACUAACGUAUUAAAAACCAUAGUUGACUUCAGCCUGUUUUGUGAUAAGAAGAAUUGAAGUAUACAAAGUGAUAAUGAUAUCUCCUGUUGUCAAUGUCUUCUACUGAACAUAGUCAUCUAUAGCAAAGGCUGGCAAAAUCCAAGUAUUUGGCAAAAGCUGGAGACCAAAUCCAGCCCUGCCAUCUGUUUCUGUAGGGCUUGAACACACUUCUGCUGUUAUCUUCCAGAUGCCCCUAGCGGGGCAAGAGGAUGCAGGCUCAGAUGAUCUGGGCUCCAUUCCCAGCCAUUUGGUGUUGUGGGCAUUGUUUGACUUAUUUAACCUUUCUGGAUGUCAUUUUUCGUAUCUGUGAAGUCAGAGGGUCGAACCAGGUUUUUCAGAACCUGUGGCGUGGAGAAUUCUGACUCUGAAUGUGUGUUGGAGGUCCAUUUGUGAUUACAGCAUAGAGUUUAUUAAGGAUGAAAUUUUGGCAUUAAAGCAAUUUGCAUGCAUUAUAUAUGCAAUAUAUAGCUUAAAACAUAAGAUUACCCAUCAUUUUCGGCACUUUUGAACUCUACCAAAAAGGAAUUAAAUAAUCACAAAAAGGAACCCUAUUGCCACGUGUAUUAGUCUGUUCUCAUGCUGCUAAUAAAGACAUACACAAGACUGGGUAAUUUAUAAAGGAAAGAGGUUUAAUGGAAUCACAGUUCCACAUGGCUGGGAGGCCUCAUAAUCAUGGUAGAAGGCAAAGAAGAAGCAAAGGCACGUCUUACAUGGCGGCAGGCAAGAGAGAGCUUGUGCAGGGGAACUCCCAUUUAUAAAACCAUCAGAUCUCACGAGACCCAUUCACCAUUAUGAGAACAACAUGGGAAAGUCCCGCCCCCAUGAUUCAAUCUCUUCCCACCAGGUCCACAACAUGUAGGAAUCAUGGGAGCUACAAUUUAAGAUGAGAUUUGGGUGGGGACAUAGCCAAACCAUAUCAUUCUACCCCUGGCCCCUCCCAAAUCUCAUGUCCUCACAUUUCAAAACCAAUCAUGCCUUCCUAACAAUCCCCCAAAGUCUUAACUCAUUUCAGCAUCACCUCAAAAGUCCACAGUCCUAAGUAUCAUCUGAGACAAGGCAAAUCCCUUCCAUCUAUGAGCCUGUAAAAUCAAAAACAAGUUAGUUAUUUCCCAGAUAUAAUGGGGGUACAGGCAUUGGGUAAAUACAUCCAUUCCAGAUGGGAGAAAUUGGCCAAAACAAAGGGGUUACAGGGCCCAUGCAAGUCCAAAAUUCAAUAGGGCAGUCAUUAAACCUUAAAAUGACCUUUGACUCCAUGUCUCACAUCCAGGGCAUGCUGAUAUAAGAGGUGGGCUCCCAUGGCCUUGGGCGGCUCCACCCCUAUGGCUUUUCAGGGUACAUCCCCACUCCUGGCUGCUUUCACAGGCUGGUGUUGAGUGUCUGUGACUUUUUCAGGUGCACAGGGCAAGCUGUCAGUGGAUCUACCAUUCCAGGGUCUGGAGGACAGUGGCCCUCUUCUCAUGGCUGUACUAGGCAGUGCCCCAGUGGGAACUCUGUGUAGGGGUAUCAACUCCACAUUUUCUUUCCACACUGCUCUAGCAGAGGUUGUCCAUCAGCUUGCCACUCCUGCAGCAAACUUCUGCCUAGACAUCCAGGCAUUUCUGUACAUCCUCUGAAAUCUAGGUGGAGAUUCCCAAACUUCAAUUCUUGACUUUUGUACACCCAUAGGCCCAACACCAUGUGUAAGCCACCAAUGCUUGGGGCUUGCACCCUCUGAAGCAAGGGCCUGAGCUGUAUGUUGGCCCCUUUUAGCCAUGGCUGGAACUGAAGCGGCUGGGAUGCAGGGCGCCAUGUCCCGGGGCUGCACAGAACAGGGGGGCCCUGGCCCACUAAACCAUUUUUCCUUCUAGGCCUCCAGGCCUGUGAUGGGAGGGGCUGCUGUGAAGGUCUCUGACAUGCCCUGGAGACAUUUUCACCAUUGUCUUGGUGAUUAACAUUUGGUUCCUCAUUACUUAGGCAAAUUUCUGCAGCUGGCUUGAAUUUCUCCCAGAAAAUGGGUUUUUCUUUUUAAUUGCAUCAUCAGGCUGCAAAUUUUCCAAACUUUUAUUCUCUGCUUCCUCUUGAAUGCUUUGCUGCUUAGAAAUUUCUUCAACCAGAUAUCCUAAAUCAUUUGUCUCAAAUUCAAAGUUCCACAGACCUCUAGGGCAAGGGCACAAUGCUGCCAGUCUCUUUGCAUAGCAAGAGUGAUCUUUACUCCAGUUCCCAACAAGUUUGCCAUUUCCAUCUGAGACCACUUUAGCAGGGACUUUAUUGUCCAUAUCACUAUCAGCAUUUUUAUCAAAGCCAUUCAAUAAGUGUCUAGGAAGUUCCAAACUUUGCCACAUUUUCUUAUCUUCUUCUGAGCCCUCCAAACUAUUCCGACCUCUGCCUGUUACCCAGUUCCAAAGUCAGUUCCACAUUUUCAGGUAUCUUUAUAGCAGCACCCCACUCCUGGUCCCAAUUUACUGUAUUAGUCUGUUCUCACACUGCUAAUAAAGACAUGCACCAGACUGGGUAAUUUAUAAGGGAAAGAGGUUUAAUGGAAUCACAGUUACCCAUGGCUUGGGAGGCCUCACAAUCAUGGUGUAAGGCAAAGAAGAAGCAAAGGCCUGUCUCACAUGGCAGCAGGCAAGAGAGCAUGUGCCAGGGGAACUCCCAUUUAUAAAAACAUCAGAUCUCAUGAGACCCAUUCACCAUCAUGAGAACAGCAUGGGAAAGACCUGCCCCUAUGAUUCAAUCACCUCCCAUUGGGUCCCUCCCACAACAUGUGGGAAUAAUGGGAACUACAAUUCAAGAUGAGAUUUAGGUGGGGACACAGCCAAACCAUAUUGCCAUGUGAGUCACUUAUGUACUAGGAAAGCAAGACCAGUUGUUUUGAAAUACCCAUGUUGAAUCUGAGCUCAAAAUCAUAUUAAAAUAUUAAAUUGUGCCUUAAUUUGUGAUAAAGUAUUACUAUCCAAAUGAUAAUGUACACUUUGAGAAAGAAAGAUUUUAGGCUAAUGUACUUUAAGAUUGUACACUUAAAUGCAAUUUAGCUUGAAUUUGUUAUUCAAUAUAGUCAAUAAUGUUAUGUGGUAUUUAAUUUAGGCCAAUAAAGUUUUGAAUACCUAAUUAUGUUAAGGCCUUUAAGACAGUUGAGACCUUGCCAAAUGUUCAUAUUAUGCUUGUCGAGUUAAUUAUCAGGAAGUUACUUAUCUGAUCAUUGUUUCUUAAUUUCUAUUGAGCCAGUCAUUGUCCUUUAUAAGAAAUUAUUUUCCAGCUGUAGUAUUUCAGUGCUGGGUUUUGAUUAUAGACAUAUAAAAAGGGUUUAUUUAGGACUGCCUUUAAAAUUAAAUCUGAUCAUAAUUAUUUGACUAGUAGAGGCACUCUAGGAAAAGGUUGAGUAGUGGCUGUCCACUUUGGCUACUCAGUAAAAUUACCCAAGGGGCUGUUUAAAUUCCCAUGUGCAGGUAUACCCUCAAACUAAUUAAGUCUAUCUCUGGAGGUAUUUUUUUAAAGCUCCCAAGGUCCUUUGAAUAUGCAGCCAAAGUUGAGAAAUACAGGCCUUGAGAACAAGCAAGGAAAGCCUCCUGGGGAGGUCUUUCUGUAGUGGAAUGCUCCUGCUCUUUGUAAUUGGGUAGCUUGAGUAGCUGUGAAGUUCUUUAAAGAAGAUUAUUUUCAAAAAGAAAGAAACUUACCAAUAUCUGGAGAGGGGCAGAAAGCACGUGUUGCUUGCCCUAAGUCUCCAUCCUACAAAUACCAGGAGAGUUUGUCCUGAUUUUGAAAGGAUUUAGGAGGUAACAUCCUGCUUUUGUCAACGCAUGGUGUUUGCUUUGACUUUUGUUUGGCAUCUUAUUUCACCUACAAGAUCAGUGGGAGCUAAAAUUUAUUGAGCGCACCUGCUAAGUAUCAGGUCCUGUGCUAUAAACAUCACUCUGUCUCACAGCCAGGAAAGAUAGAAUUAUUCACUUAGAAAUAAAAAGUCAGAGUUCUGUUUUGUUAGAGAAAUCUUAGUGUAAUUGCAUAAAUAUUUAGUGAUUUCUUUAUUCAUCUGGUGACCUUUGUUGAAUACAUAUGCUAUUCCAAAAAUAAGUUUAAACAUGCCCAAAGAAUACAAAGGAUCUGUAUUCAUUAUCUGUUGCUUCAUAACAACCUUAGUGGCUUUAGAUGAACAUGUAUUUAGCUCUUGAUUCUGUGAUUGAUAGUUUAGGCUGGGCUCAGCUGGGCAAUCCUCUCGUCUUGGCCAGGUUCACUCAUGCAACAAUGGUCAGCUGUGGUUCAGCUUUGCUGAUCUUGGUGGGGCUCUCUCACUUUUCUGGGAGCUUUAACUGAGACAAGCUGGCUGACCAAGCUCUGUUCCUUUGGCCUCUCAGUCAUCAGCAGGGUCAACCUAGAUUUGUUGGAAUAUGGAGUUAGGGUUUCCUAGAGAAUGCCUAAGUAUCCACGGCACCUUAGGCCUGGUGUGAGAAUGGGCACACCAUCACUUCUGCCACAUUUCCUGGCCAAAGCAAGUCACAAGCCCAGUCUAGACACAAGGAGUGGGGAAAGAGAUUUCAUUUCUUGAUGGAAGGUACUAAAAAGUCACAUUUUAAAGGGCAAGGAGAAAGGAAACAGUGAGCAAUUAAUGGUUAUUUUUUGCAAUCAACCACAGGUAGAAAACUUCAGUUCUAUCUUGGGACAUUAGAGGGUGUUCCUGAGAAAUGGUAACAUUUGAGCAGGUUUCAAGGGUAGAAAAUAUAUUUCAGGUGAGGCAAUAGCAUAAGGAGAACUGUCAAAUUGUGCUUUCAUUAGUGAAAAACAAAAUGGAGGUAGUAAGUUCCCUAAACGUAGAAAAUAUGUCUAGCCGACAACUGAGCAUGUGGAAGGCACUCAGCAUGUACUUUCUCAUUUACAUCAAAGGGCAGUGAAGUGACUAAGAGUGUAGGCCCUUAAAGCAGGUAUAAUAACCUGAUAGCCUUACCAUUUACCAGCUAGUUUGCCUUGAACAAAUUACUGUGCCUCUUUAGUACCAUGAGGACAAUAAUACCUCCUAUAGCAUUUGCUGCAUAACAAACCACUCCAUGACUUAACGGCUUAAAAACAACAGCCAUUUACUCAGCAGCUCAUUCUACAGUUUUAUAGUUUGGGCCAUCUUAGGUUGGAGGUUCUUCUGGUCUCAGUUGGGCUCAUGCCUGUGUCUUUGGUCAGCUUGCAGUCAGCUAGAUGUCUCUGCUUCUGAGGAUUGGCUGGCUACUGGGGGAACAAUAAGGACAACUGGAUGACCACCUUCUCAUCAUCCAGCAGGCUAGUGUGGGCUUAUUCACAUAGAGGAUCAGCAGAAUUCCAGAGUGAGAGUAGAAUCAUUCAAAGCAUGUGGGCUGGGUUCAACAUUGACACACCAUUGCUUCCAAUGAGCUCCAUGAGCUAAAGGGAGUCACAAAUCAGCCCACCAUUAAGAGUAGAGAAACAGACAGCAUUUCUUGCUGGAAGGAGCUCCAAAGUCACGUUGCAAGAAGUGAGGAUACAGGGAGGGGAAGACUUGUGACCAUCUAGGGAAUCUUCUAUACCUACCUAUAGCUCACAACAAUCCUGUGAAGAAAAAGUUAAAUAUAACUUGAUUUUUCUAGGUGAGGCUCCAACCUAAAAAGUACCAGGCUAAUCAUAGAUGUUCAAUACAUGGAAAGUAUUAACUUUUUCCUAUGAAAAUUAGAAAUCAGAUUUUAAGCCAAAUUCUUUAAUUGCUUACUUUUAUAGAAUAUCAGAUGAACCUCCAAGUGCUUCUUACAAAGGUUAAACAUUAUACAUUCUUUCCCUGUUGCAGAAAUAUAAUGUAAGUGGGUAAAGCUCACUGCCUCUGAGUGCAUGUGUAUCUUGGCCUGACAGUCUGGCAGCUGCAAUGUGUAGAAUAUGCUUAUUCAACAUAAAGGGUCAACUCAGGAAAAGAACCAGAGACGGUCAAGUACAAUGUUUCAGUUCCCAAAAUAUUCAAGGCCUUUUAUAAUGGGUAAGAACUCAUUUCAAAACCUAUACAAAGAACAAAAACCUUAAUAAAUUGUUAUUGAUUUCUUUUACUGUUAUGAGUAUUUUCAUAAAACCAGCUAAGCCUCAUAUAGUUCUAGAUUGAUCCACACAUUGCUUUUGGAUCCCAUAAAUUGCAUUCAAUGGAGAUUUAUUUAUCUGGCAGCUAAAAUACCUCUAAUCAGUGAUGUGAACUGGAUCAAAAAAUACCUAUACUCUUUGAAAUAAAUAGAACAUCAAAGGGUAUUCAAGAAUGUGUAGUGCAGAAAUAUGGCAAAUGUGCAUUGAGGGUGGUGCCAGCUUUUUUAUAAUUAUGGAACUUCUAAGUCCUUAAAUGAUAGAGAUCAGAUGGUUCUUGCGCUCUGCCUCCUGACUUCAGCCUGCUUUACCCAACCCACCACCUCCAAAAGCUCCAAAGCCCACAAAAGGGCCCUCUAUCCGCCCGAUUGCACCUCAUUCCCAAACACUGAAUGUCCACUGUACUGCUUGUUCCUCUUAAGAUUUUAGAAAGUCUUAGUGGUGGAGUGAUUAAGAACUGUGGCUCUGAUCCUCAUGUCUCUCACUUUCUUCCUCUCUGAGUGACAGGGGAAGCUUCUGAAGCUACAAGCCUCCUUCCUUAUUUCCUUAAUAAUGGUCGUACAAAGACAUGUUUACGUGGCCAUUCCAUCACAUUUAGAGUCAUUUGCUGUUAACAACAACAGAAAUAUUGAAUCCCCAACGAUUUAUGUCAUUAGAAAAGAAAAACAAAUAUAAAUUAAUUAACAUUUUCAAGACAUCCCAACACAGGUUUGCUGAUGGUGUUGCUUUGGCUUUCAAAGCCUGCUAGUCCCCAUCUUGCUCUGCAGCACUGGAGUAUGGGUCACUUUCUGGAAAGGCUUCAGUGCCUUUGCUACAGAGUAAAUAGUUUGUUUUGAACUCUCAGUUUGUUUUUAAAGUAAUGUUUUAUGGGCCAUGUAAUGAAGUACCUAACAUAGUGCUAAGCACAUAGUAAUAAGUAUUUGUAGACCUGAUAUGUCUAUCUUUGCAUGCCUGAGAAUGAUUUCCGGUUUAUAAAAUUUGUGUUGGCAAGGAAAGCAGUUUUUGUUGCUACUGAUAAGCCAUCUGGGGCUUGAUAUUCUAAAUUUGAUGACUCUAUUUACACAUAAUAUCUUUUAGGGGGAUUCCAUAUUUUUUACGUUUGUUUGCCAAACUAGAAGUUAUGUACAAAGUUGUAAGCCCAAAAUCUGAGAAUUUUACCCUGGCAAACCCUACAAAUAUUUUAAAUUACCGCAAUGAUUUUUUAGUAAAUAAAAUGUCAAUGCAAAUAUGUGGAACUAGAUUUCAGAGAUCUCAGAGAUCCCUGAACAUUCUAUGGUUCUUUAUACUGGCACUGUAGAGAAUUUAUAUUAUAUUGAACAUUUUAUAUUAAGCAUAUGUCUUGAGGCCAGGUGCAGUGGCUCACGCCUGUAAUCCCAGAACUUUGGGAGGCUGAGGCGGGCGAAUCACUUGAGGUCAGGAGUUUGAGACCAGCCUGGCCAACAUGGUGAAACCCUGUCUCUACAAAAAAUACAAAAAUUAGCCAGGCAUGGUGGCAGACACCUAUAAUCCCAGCUACUCCAGAGGCUGAGGCAGGAGAAUCGCUUGAGCCCGGAAGGCAGAGCCUGCAGUGAGCCGAGAUCACGCCACUGCACUCCAGCCUGGGUGACAAAGCAAGACUCUGUCUCAAAAACAAAGGGCAAGGGGAACUUGAUGUUGAGUUGGAUAUGGGAGGAAACAGAGAGGGUGGUAAACAGGGAGGACCUGGGAUUUGACCUUGGCCAACUAGCUGAAGGUGGCACCAUUUCCAGAGAGAGGGGCCCUGGAGGAUGACCCCAGGGGCAGGGUACAAUGGAGAGUAUAGCCUUGCGCACACUGAGGCCGAGGGCCUGGGGGACACCCAGGCAGAGAAGCCCAGGUGCAGCUGGAUAUGGGAUGGCAGCUCUGAAAAGAGGCUUGGGCCAGAGAUACAGAUCUGGGAUCAUGGCAACCUGAUGGGAAAUGAAGGCAUGGUUUUGGAUGAUGUGUCCAGGAAGAUAAUAUGCAGCAAAAUCAGGAAAAGAACCCAAGACCAUACCUUAAACAACUAUGGUAUUUCAUAGCUAGGGAGAGGAGCCAAUAUCCUGGGGUGUUUUCUCAAAUGUGUGGUUACCAUAAUUUGGCAUCAUCCUUUGACCCAUACCUCUGCCUUUUAAGUUGGCAUAUGGAUGAUAAUGAUUCUGGAUAGUUAUACAGUGUCUGAAAUUUGGUCUGAUAUUUUCUCACAGAAACUUAUACACAAACCUCUGUCUUGUGGAUGUGAGUUGACGGACAUGGGUAGGCAAAAUUCUUGCUUGCUAUUUGAUGAUUUAAGUGACAGAAGUGAAAAAAAAUUUUUUAAAUUCUGGUAUGUAGACUUAGAGGCUUGAUCAAUGCGAGUUUGCAUUAUCGUUAGACUUUCUAGCUAGUGCCCAGGGUUUCCUUUUGCAUCACACAAUACAAUGUCUGGUUGUGCCUCUUUUCCUGACAUUAAAAUUCAUCAGUGGAUUCAGAAGAACCUGCUUAUUUUAAAAACUCAAUGUAUAUAUAAUAUAUUCAAAUGGACAGCUGGUAUCUGAUUAUUUCUUUAUUUUAGUUACAGCUGUGUUAAAUUCAAUUAUAAAUUAUAAAUCAUAAUAGAAGAAUCAGCUGCUUUGAAUGCAGGAAGAUGCAGAUUCUUCUUUAAGUAUGUUUUUGAAUAAAAUAAGAUUAUGUUAAACCAGCCAGGGAAGCAGCAAAAGGAGUUAAUAUUUACUGGGUGCCUACUCUGGGCAAGGGCACUGAACUGUGCAUGUUGCACAAGAUACAAAUGUAGCUGAUUUUGGUAGGGGUUUCAAAUAUACUUUUCUAUGCUGAAUGGCAAUCUGAAAUACUGAAGAUACUGAAUGGAGCUGACAUGCAAACAUAGGCACAUGUUUGGAAGGCUGGCAGAGUGUGUUAUCAAUAUGGCUUAAAGUGCUAGUCUAGACCAAACAGAAGUGCCUCAAAAUAGUGGUAGUGCCCAACUGUCAUUCCAUAUGUCAGUAGGAUUUGUCCUGAAGAUAUUGCAGCUGACUUCUUGGCCAGUACUCUCAGUAUCAUGUGGUAAUAAUGGAAGGAUAAGAUUACUAACAAAAGAUCCCAGGCUAUAAUGAGUCCACUAACAUUAAAUGGAUGCUUUCUGCAAUGUACCUCCCAUCUCAAGCUGACAUGUAUGGAAAUGAACAAUUGCAAGAGACCCAAAAACUUUACCAUGGCAGACUGAGGACCCUAUGCCAAAUAAACAUGGUGUUACUCCCGAUAAAGUGAUCUAAAGAAACCUCAACAGACGAUUGGAAGUACAGUUUCAGACAUUAAUGUCUAGCUGCCUUCUGCUGGAAAUUGAAAGGAACAACUAAGAUUGCAAAAUGUGCAAAUGGAGAAGCCCUCUCUACCAGAAGCUUGGAGCCAGCCAGAGGUCAGCAAAGCACAGGCUGCAAAACGCCUUCUCUGCAAAAGUAGCUGGCACUGUGAAUCUAAUUAAAAUCCCAACAUGUGCAUAUUGCAUGAGGGACUAUAGCUUAAAAUGAAAUUGCAACUGUACACAUUCAUUAUCUAUUAGCCAUCAGUAGUUACAACCUUAAAGAAUACAGGAUUGUAUUUGGUACUAUUCUUAGUAAGACUGCAAAGAUAUGCAUUUAUUCACUCCAUCAAUAUUUACUAAGCACCUGCUCUGCUGUAAGUGCAUGUAUUAGUCCGUUUUCAUGCUGCUGAUAAAGACAUACCUGAGACUGGUCACUUAUAAAAAAAAAAGUUUAAUGGACUCACAGUUCCAUGUGGCUGGAGAGUCCUCACGAUCAUGGAGGAAGGUGAAAGGUAUGUCUUACAUGGCGGCAGGCAAGAGAAAAUGAGAACCAAACAAAAGGAGUUCCCCUUAUAAAACCAUCAGAUCUUGUGAGACUUACUCACUACCAUGAGAACAGUAUGGGGGAAACCACUCCCAUGAUUCAGUUAUCUCCCGCCAGGUCUCUCCCGUAACAUGUGGCAAUAAUGGGAGCUACAAUUCAAGAUGACAUUUGGGUGGGGACACAGCCAAACCAUAUCAGUGCCUUAGUUAUAGCUGCAAAGACAAACAUAGAGUUUGUGCUCAUGAAGGUUCUAUUCUAGAGGUUGUACAUACAACAAUAAACACAAAGGCCAAUAAAUAAUAUGCUUUCAGAUAAGGAUAACAGGAAAAGACAGCAGGGUAAUGAGAUGAAGGCUGAGUGUAGUGGAGUGGACGGGAGAGUUUCAGAAUGGUUGGUCAUAGAAUGCUUUUCUGAGAACACGAUCUUUAAGCAAGACUGAAAAAAUAAGGAGGAACCAGCUGUAUGAUGACCUGAAGGAUGUUCAUUCCAGAAAACAAACAGCUAGUAUAAAAGCUCCAGGUGAGGGGAAGCUUGACAUGGUCAAGGGCUAGAAAGAAAAAGCACAUGAGAAGUCAUGGUCAAGGAGACCAAGGAACCAGCUGAGGCUGGAAUGGUUGGGUCCACCUGCCCCAUGAGAACCCUUCAAUGAAUGUUGGUCAAACUGAGCUGAACAAAGUGUACUGUGUCCGUUUAAACAAUGAAGGUCAAUAGAAAAGCUAAAAUAGCCUAAAUCAUAAAGAAAAGUUAUUGUCAUAAUAAUGUGUUGAUUUAUUGUACAUUCUUUCUAAGAAUUAUGGAUCAUUUUGCAAGUGGAUAGAGAAAUGUAUUUUGGAUCAGCUUUGACAUACGCUUAAAAACAGUGGUAUGUUACCCUCAAACAAGUAACAGGCCAAGAGAUUUUAUAUAUUUCUUGUUGAAAUUUUUAUAUUUGAAAAUGCUUAAAAAUAAUGCUAUUUUAAUUUCUAUAAUAAAUUACAAUAGCCAUAUAACUUUUGAGGGAUGCAGAGAAAACUACAUAGAAAUAAUGUAGCAAACAAGCAAAAAAAAGUGUGGCUCAAAAUCCCUAUCUUCUAAAUCUGAGUCUUUAUGUUGUGUGAGCUCAGAUACCACCCUCUGGAAUAGAUUCAAAACAUGAUCUGUUUUGGCCUGGGCUUUAAGGAUAUACAUGUGAGAAACUUUGGUUUAUGUGAAUUGCAGCAUAGACUCGUUAUGUGGGAAGAGGAACAAUGAGCUGUAUCUGUUUUAUAUUGCCACAUCCUGAUUAUGACAUGUUCCAAUACUACAAGAGAAAUAAGAUGGAAUAGCAUCUGCUAGUUAAGAGUUUAGAAAUAUGAAUGAAUAGUCUAGCUCAGUGAUUCUCAGCCCCAAACAUAUAUUCAGAUACCCUGGGGACACCUUCACAAAUAUCAAUGUCAAGGCCCCAUUCCUGAUCUAUUAAGCCAACUUUGAGAGUUAGACCUCGGCAUUAGUGUAUUGUAAAAAGUUUGGCCUGGGCACAGUGGCUCACACCUGUGAUCCCAGCACUUUCGGAGGCCAAGGUAGGAGGAUCACUUGAGGCCAGGAGUUCAAGCCCAGCCUGGGCAACAUAGCUAAAUUCCAUCUCAACAAUACAUAAAUAAAAAUUAACCAGAUGUGGUGGUACAUGCCUGUAGUCCUAGUUACUUAAGAGGCCUAGGUGGGAGGAUCUCUUGAGCCCAGGAGUUCAAGGUUUCAGUGAGCUAUGAUCACACCACUGUACUCCAGCAAGGGUGACAGAGACCUUGUCUUAAAAAAAAAGUUGGCAAUGGAUAGCCAGGGUUGAAAACCACUGGUCUAAUUUAAUAGGUCGCCAUAGUCUUUAGGAUACCGUUGGUUUGAUUUUCAGCAUCUUAGUCUCUAUAUCUCAUAUCUUAUCAUCUGGGUAAUACUUCAUUAUUUUUUUUAGAGAUCAGAGCUUAUGGUCCCUAAGGUUAGUUUGAUGGGAAAGUCUUUUCCUUUCUGACUUCCUUUUUCCUUUUAUUCUUUGCUCUUUUGAAAAUGUAUUUUCCUUCUAAAGCAUAAUCUGGAGAUUGAGAACUUUUAAAAUCUAUAAAGGAAUAGUCCAUGGUAAUUAAACUUCAAGUUUCAUGUAUCCAUUAUUCAGAAAUUAAUAUCUGCUUCUAAAAAUAUUGAAGUUGUUAUAAUAAAGACACAUAAGGUUUUUUAAAACAUAUGAAAUAAAAAACUUGUAAUUGGCAUUGGUGUAGGCAGAGGAAAGAAAGAGCUAGACGAAGAUAAUUGCUAUAAUUAAAGAUAAUUACAGCUUUGAGCAUCCAGCCAGCCAUGUGAGGGGAAAAGAAGAAAGGAAAUAUGAUUUUUGUAUGUGUAGUUUAUCUUUUAUACAAAAAGGCAAACUACUUCACCAGGACAGAAAACCUUCUUCUGAGAAGUAAAAUCUCUAGGAGUUUAUCACACAGACACAUAAAGCUUUAUGUACCACACAGUAGAACAAUGUCAUUUAAUAGUUUUAUGAGAAAUUCAGAUAAAUCAAGAUAAUUUCUUAUAUUAAUAUUUUAUAAAAGCUACUUUUAUGACAUUACUUCAUCAGUAGGUUCAGCUGCUACCUCAUAGAGUCCUGAGCUCAUGUCAGUAGGACUGUGCCAGCUGCAGUCCUGGAGGAUGUUGGUAUUCCAGUGAGCUGUGGCAGAGCAUGUCCUUCAGUUCAUCUGAAAGCCAUACGAAGUCACAGAUGAGAGGAAGUGGAGCAGAACACCACUCUGUUAGGAAACGUGAGAUUGGAAUUUGAUCUGUCAGGUUCACCUUACCCUUUUAAAUUCUUACAGUAGUAGUAUUAUAUAUACUACUAUAUUAUAUAUAUUAUAUAUUAGUAUAUAAUAUGUAGUAUUAUAUAUAUUAUAUGUAGUAUUAUACUUUGGGAGAGUAUUAAUAGUUUGAGAACUAUACUGUAGUCAUACAUCUUGGUGUCUUAGAUGGAUCCUGGCUACAGAAUCAAAAACGUAUGAUAGAUAAGUGGCUACUGCAGAACACCUUACAUUGUUCUUAAUUAUGUUCUUCGUAAAGGGAAGCAGAGUGUUACCAGUGACUACUAGUGAGCCAGUUGCCCCUAAAGUUUGUUUAUUCCUGAAACACUAUAACAUGGCAAUUUAUUAAGUAUAAUGAAGUAGAAUUUUGAAGAGUUUGGAGAAAGGUCUAAAAUAUGUGAUGUGAAAAAGACUGAAUUAUUCUUGUUUAUGGGAUAAUAGCAUAUUGUUUUACAAUUUGUGUCUAGAAAUCACGUAACUGUUAGAAAUAAUUGCUUACAAAAAGAACUAGAAUGAAACCACAUAGCUUAUAUUAUUUAAUCCGAUGGACAAAAUGAUACAUACUAACUUCUUUUCCCAAUAGCAAUUACUAGAUGUCAGUGGCUACCUUGAUUUUCCUAGAUGAGUUUUCUUUUUGUCCUAAAAACACAUCUUCUUGUCCUGUUUUGUAAAUAUAUUUUUCUUGAAGUUUUCCUGUAAUAGAUGCAUGAGAAAUAAGCACACAGUGAUUCCCCCGGACCAGAUUCCACUGUUAUAUUUCUCACAGUAAGCAUUGGCAGGGCCACUGCCACGGCUAUUUAGUGCAAACCUCAUGCCUCUAGGAGGUGCCACUCACAGAAAUAUAGUCUAUGCUCUUAGUACAGCCAGACCUCCUCAAAGCCUCAGUGGCAGAGAAGUGUGAACUCACAUUCCUGACUCCAUGUGUCAUUCUUCAAGCUCCCGUGUUUUAUUUUUUAAGUUCUUUUUUUUUUUUUUUUUUUUUUUUGAGACAGAGUCUUGCUCUGUCACCCAGGCUGGGAUGCAGUGGCACGAUCUCAGCUCACUGCAACCUCCACCUUCUGGCUUCAAACAAUUCUCCUGCCCCAGCCUCCUGAAUAGCUGGGAUUACACGUGCCCGCCACCACACCCGUCUACUAUUUUUUUUUUUUUUUUUUGUAUUUUUGUAUUUUUAGUAGAGACGGGGUUUCACCGUGUUGGCCAGGCUGGUCUCGAACCCCUGACCUCAGGUAAUCCACACACCUCAGCCUCCCAAAGUGCUGGGAUUAUAGGCGUGAGCCACCAUGCCUGGCCUAUUUUUUAAGUUCUUAAUAGAACCUUGUACUCCAUGAGAUCCAUGUUUCUUUUAUGAUAAAUUAACUUAAAAUCAAAUAACUUCCACAUUUCUAGAAGAUGUUGUUGGCACCUUUUUCCCGCACUUCCCACAACAUGUCUCUAAUAUAUGCCUGUCCCUACCUGCAAACCUUGCCGCUGUAUCAUAGGCUACUCUCUCUCUCUCUGCCUCUCUGUUGAAUGCCUUUAAAAUACCCUUUCCAGAAAAAGAGUGAAAACGUAGCAUAGAGAAGUGAAGGGGGCAGGGCUGUCAGAGCCAUACUGUGAUAUUUGUUCUCAUUGUACAACCUGAAGACUUUCCUUGGUCUCUACUUUCCAAAGAAAAUGGAAAUUGGGGGUAGAGUGACCAUGUUGACUGCCUUACAUACAAAGGGCUUUGAACUCAGCACAGGGAAAGGCUCUCUUUAAAAUGUUAGCUUAAUGAAUCCAUAUUCUAAGGCCUCUCCAAAAAAGUUCUUAAUACUGUGGCAUACAAUGUGAGUUCCACAUAUGAUCCUUCAACUUGAAAACCUCUGUGACACUCAAAAUGUAAAACUCUUCACAUUAUACUCCAAGACUUUUCAUAAACACAGCCUUAACCCAUAACUUCCAUUUUAUUCAUGAUUUCCAAAUAGAAAAAAAAAAUGGAAAAUCUCGAGGAAGACAGUGUGAUUUUAAAGAUGUUCAGAAUUGCAUUCUUUUUGGUGCAUGAGGUCUUGUAAUCCCAUUGGCUCCAUGGCUUUCUAAGGAGGGUCAGUUUUCUGAGUUCUCCCUGUGGACUUCUGGAGUUUCACUGCCUCUGCCCCUGGGGACCCGCUAUGAGAUUAGAUUUUUACUUUCACACUAUGAACCAGGAACACAGUGAGGCUUGUCUACAGAACCAGUGAGAUGGAAAGGGACCAGGAAGAGGUGGCACUUCAGUGCCCACACAGAGAGAGAAGGGAUAGAGAACAGAUUCAGGAUUGGGCAGUGCAGGACUCACAAGCACGAGACCUGUGUCCUUCAAAGGGUUUUCUAGUGAAUUACCUACUUGGGAAUCACUUAGGAUGCAAGAUAAAAAUAUAGAUUCUUGGCCAGGCAUGGUGGCUCAUGCCUGUAAUCCCAGCACUUUGGGAGGCUGAGGCAGGCAGAUCACUUGAGGUCAGGAGUUUGAGACCAGCCUGGCCAACAUGAUGAAACCCCAUCUGUACUAAAGAUACAAAUAUUAGCCAGGCAUGGUGGCACAUGCCUGUAGUCCCAGGUACUUGGGAGGCUAAGGUGGGAGAAUUGCUUGAACCUGGGUGGCAGAGGUUGCUGUGAGUCGAGAUCGCGCCACUGCACUCCAGCCUGGGCGACAGAGCAAGACUCCGUCUCAAAAAAUAAUUAAAAUUUAAAUUUAAAAAUUAAAAUAUAGAUUCUUGGGCCCCUCUCCAACUCUAUUAUAUCUGGGCCUCAGCCCUUUAACAAAUUGCCCCAUGUGUUACAAGGCAGGACUGGGAGAACGUCAGGGAGUGAGGGAUUCUGGAGGGCAUCUUUGCCUGGGAAGGACGGCAAGUGAAGCCUAUGAGGCUGACAGAUGGAGGGGCAGGUGUGCUGAACGGACCUGCAGGACACGCGCUCUGAUACAGAUGGAGGCUGGGUAUUCCAUAGGGCCACAAUCACACUUAUCACUUCAGUUGACAGAACACGCACUUGCUCAGAAAUGUUCUGUCCCAUUGUUGUGUCUCUACUAGAGACCCUCCAGUUUUCUCCAUAUUGCCUUUUGUAUCGGGUCCAAGGUCUUUUUGGCUCUCCAAGGUAUUAGCAGCCUUUGAAAUGAACAAGAACCUCUUCCAAAGAGCAUGACUGAUUCUGAUCACUGAGUUCCACAUUCAGCCAUGUCAGACUGAAAGAACAAGAUCUGCACGAGUGUUACUAUUCUGUUGUACUGAUUUCCCCCACCUGUGUUGACUUAAUUUUAACUUCCCUAAAUUGGAGAAUGGAGGAGAGGGAGAUCAAUGUAUUGGAGUAUAUAAAUACAUACAUACAUACAUACAUAUAUAUGCCAUUCUCUCAGAAUUCCCCCUGGAUUAAGGCCAGCCACAGGCAAAGAGGUGAAGCAGAAAACAAUUACCUGGAAAGCCCCCUAAGUCUAUUCCCCCAUGUCCUGUCUCUCUCAGAUGCACAAGGCCCCUGCGUCCUGGCCUCAGCCCUCUCAUCCUUCUCCUUCCCCUCUUUUCCUCACCAGGUGACUUGGUCUGUUGCCAGUCAUUUAUGUUCUGUGUGAUUUUGAAUGCAUGUGUCACCUCUUGCAUGAAUAUUUUCUGUUUUAAGCUUUCACUUUAACUGUAAAGUGAAAUCAGUUUUCUUCCAUUCAGAAAGUGGGGGAGGUAGGCUCUAUACAGCACCUUCCUGGUCCCUGGGAUCCAGCCCAUCCUCAGAGGCCGGCUGGCCCUGGCUGUGGUCAAGUGCAUGCGUGGGAGGGAGUCCUUUCCACCGUGUGAACAUGCAAAGGCUGUCUUUGGAAUCCACCAGACACAUUGGGGACAGUUCUCAGCUUGAAACAACAUCAGUCCAAGGGCAUUGCAGCUGCAUCAAUGCCAUGGAGCCUCUGCUGCCAGGCUAAACAGAAUCAAGCAGCAAUUAUUGUGAUUAAAUGUUGUUUCUAGUGCAACAUGGUAGAAGUGAAAGAACUUGUGGCUUUUUUGUUCUGAUUGCACAAGCUUGGAGUUCAACAAUAAAUGGCUUUUCAUUUGUGGUCAAAAUACAGCUCUGUAUUAGGAACUUAAUCCUAAACAGGUUUUUACCUCUUGCAAAGUUUAUAGUGGUCCAAUAUUGUUUCAUAUUCAUGGUGUGAUUAGAAGAUGAAAUUGUGCCUGGCACAUAGUAGGUAUUUAUCAAUUAUGUGUUUAAUGAAUGACAGAGUGUCAGCAAGUAGAAAAUAUCAUGCGAGGUAUUGGUCAAGAAACCAGUGAAACCAACCCGAGUUGCAGACUGCCUGUAGUAAGAGAAACAGAGAAGCUUUCCAGAAUCUCUUAUCACAUAUGGAACCUCCUCAAGCUUAUCAAGUCCUGAGAUUAGAAAUUAAAUGGAUCCAUUUCCAACUUGCUUUUUGUGUAAGAUUUUCAAUAUUUUGGGUAUAUGCCUUUAAUCAGCCUCGGAAGCUUUCAGGAGAAGUGUUUUCUUUCUGCGUUACCUGUCCGUGCACCAUCUGUGUGUUUUGGUUCUGUCUUCGCAUUUUGUUGAAAGGCUACUCUAAAUUUGAAUUGUAAAUAUGUAAAUAUGCCAAGUACAUGUUAAUGAAAAAAUAACGAGACUUGUAAGUCAGCCCUGCAGCCGGUGUACCAUGGUGAUGUUGCCAGAGUGCAAAUGGUGUUUUGGAAGGGCUGUCGGGAGUGAUUCCCGGCACUGCAUGCUGACUAAAAAGGCCGUCCAUGGCUUCUCUUCCUGACAUCCACCUAACUGCUGUGGCCUCAUCAGGUUUGCCUCUGAAUUACUAAGACUGUGCUUUCUGGGAGUUGAAACUAUUGAUCACAUUAAGAAUUUAAGAUUCUUGCUGGAGCAACAUUCUCCUUUGUGUGGAAAGUCCUGAAUUUUUAUCUUAGACUUUAGGAAUCACUGGCAACUUAUAAAAUGAUAGAAACUAAGGGUUCAAAAGAACCCUUAGCUUCUUUUGAAAUGACCACAUUUUUCAGAAGGGGAAACUGAGGCAUGGGGCGGCUUGGACUCGCUUCAGGCCACACAGCAAUUCAGUGGAAAAGAAUGGAGCAGAACCUGGUCUGUACUUCUACGUAGCAGCAAUGUACCCGAUCACUGCCAUUUUACCAGACUCUGGAGUGGGAAAGAGCUGCCUUAUAUUCAAGUUCCUUUAAGGGAAUCAAGAAGGCUCCUAGGAAACAAAAGCUCUGACUUUAUCAUCCCAUAAUCUUUGAGUAAACUGAAGGCUAGGUUCCAGCUCCAGGGAUCCGGCUGUAUAACCUUCAGCAUCUGUACUAGUGCUACUUCAAAUGUAGUUCACAGACUGGCAGCCUGGAUGUCACCUGGAAGCCAGUUAGAAAUGCAGACUCUUGAGCCCCGCUCCAGACUUGCCAAAUCAGAAUCUGUAACAAGAUCCCAGAUCACCAUAUAUACAUCUAGCAGCUCUUCUAGAACAGUGCUUCUCAAACUUCAGAGUGCGUCACGAUCACCUGCAGGGCUUGUUAAUACAGAGGUUGCCGGGCCCCGCCACCCCCGAGUGUCUGAGUCAUAAGUCUGGGGGAAGGUUCAGAAUUCUGCAUUUCAACAAGUUCCCAGGUGCUGCUAACUGGGACCACCCUUGGGGAAGUUCCAUUCUACAAGAACCAUGACCCUGUCCCUUCCUCUACAAGGGGCCUAGGAGUCACACCCCUUGAGUCAUCUGCCUUCCCUGCCCUCUCCAGGCAGAAAGCUGUGAGGAUAAGCUCUGGACAUAUAUUUUUAAAUACAAGUUCUGACUUUCUCUAAUCAAGCUAGUCUCUCUUGAAACAUUUCCCCAGCCCUAAGUAAUUCACAAUAACACCAGUAAAUAACUUGGAGGGAUGUGUGUUUUGAGGAUUUUGGUUCUAUUUUUAUGAAUCAAGAAAUAUUUUGCCUGGCUAUUAAUAUUUUUAAAACUUCAUAAAGAUAGCCAUUAUUUAAGUACUGCGUAAUGAUUUCAGCCACAUUUUUGCCAUUGCUGGGUACAAUAUUAGCACUGUUAAGCCAGCAGUCCUUACGAUGGCAGUACAUCUAAUGGUGUGGGAGAGACCACAGGACGCGUUCUCUAAUUUGGCACUAGCUCACAGUGAACUGGUGUUACAAACUCCUCUGUUGACAUUCCUUUGACAUAUGAAAUGACCAUCUGCUCUUAAAUUCUACUUCUCCAGUCUUGAGGGUUUACUUUUCCCAGAUCAAGCAUCUUUUACUGUGCAGUCCCAGUGAGGUAGUAGCUGUCUGCCGAAAGGGGGCAUUUGUAGUUAGCCCAGGCUAAACAAGUGCUAAAAGGAAGUGGAUCUUUUCAAUAUCAUGAGCCACGAGUAGGAAAUUUGAUUGAGAGGCAUUUGUGUCAAGUGGUACAUUUUUGAACCUCUUGGCAAAGAAACUGAAGUUUAUUUUUUUUUAAGUCUUUUAUUAUGAAAAAAAAAAAGGUGGCUGAAUUACUGCCCUCAGAAGCCAAAUAAAAACAGUGCAAAGCAAUGCUUAACAGAGCGUGACUGCAAAUAGUGCUGGUCUCAGUAAACUGGCCUGCCUGUAGACACCACAUCCAUCACAGCAAAGCUGGUGGGAUGUUUGUAAAGCCCUCCAGAUACCUUGGAAGGAGGUUUAUGAUUAAUGCAUGGCUGGGAGUAAGCAGUGGGUGUACCAGAUGGGAGUGAACAUUCUUCUCUCUGGCCCUAAAACAAGUCCUGAUAGAGUGAAGUUAAGAUUGCCAGGGAGAUGGGUGUGGCUCUCACAUCCUCACCUGUCUGCUGCUGUCCCAGACAGGCCAGACGCCUGGAGGUUGUGAAUACCUGGGGCUGAGAGCAUGCUGGGCAGUGUGUUAGAAGAGGAAGUGCUGGGGACAGAGCCUGUAGCUGCAUGACCCUAAAUAAGGCACUGAACUUUGAGCCUCAGUUUCCUCAUCCAUAGAAUCGAUUCAAUAACAUCUACCGCAAAGGGUCAUGAGGACGAAAUAAAAUAACCCACAGUAAAGUAGCUGGCAGACACACAGUCUGUGCUCACUUCCAUUUUUCGGUGCUUUUUAUGUCAAGCCUAUGAGUCAAAACUGGUAUGUAGCGAGCCUCUUGGGGGCCCUGGAGGGAACUUGGGUAAAGCCACAGUAAUGGAUUAUAUGCAAGCAGGAGCACCAUGGAGACCAACCUACCCUGGCCAGGUGGUCGGGCAAGCAGGCUUUUGUAGGUUCCUUGUGCCCCCAUCAAGUUUCAGCAUCACUUGAGAGGACAGAGCAAAAGGGUUUCUUCCAACUCUUACCACCUUUGAAGAUCUGACCAAUAUGCACUUCCUCUUGCCUCCUUUUCUUCCUCUUAACUAUUAAUUCAUCCAAUAAAUAUUAAGUGCCUACUGGGUGCCACACACUACGGCUACAGUUAUGAACCAGAUAGGUCAGUUUGAAGUUCCUCCCUCCUGGGGCUUAGCCCAGCAGAGGAGACACUUGAAUUGCUUCAUAAUUUCAAUUUUGAGUAAGGAAGGAAAAAACUUGUAAAAGAUGGGCCUCAGCCACACCUGAGAGGUGGGAGGGUUUUGGCAUCAGGAAAGCUGCCCCAAGGAAGUGAGACUCAUAGGAUGCUUAGAUUUGUCAGAUGAAAAAUGUUGGAAAGAGAGCCAACAAUGUUUAAGGCUCCUUUUUCCUUUAGAAAUGGAAGGUCCAGCCCCCUUGAGGCUUGUGUGAGGAACCUAGGAGCUGGAGAAGGUGUGAAAUUGUCAUUGCAGAGAGGGGUCAGAAGAACACUAAGCUUGGGGACAUGGUGAGAUUACUGGAGUUGACAGGCCUGCUGCGGGGGAUGAAGACACUGAUAUUACGGUGCUGUGACUUUUCUCAGGAGAUGUUCAGCUGCUUCAGUGACAAUACAGAGAAGCCAGAUGGCUGUGUUCAUUCCAGAGUGAAGGAUUUGCCUUAAGGCCAGGUGCGGUGGCUCAUGCCUAUAAUCCCAGCAUUUUGGGAGGCCUAGGCUGGCAGAUCACUUGAGAUCAGGAGUUCAAGACCAGCCUGGCCAACGUGGUGAAACCCCAUCUCUACUAAAAUUACAAAAAAAUUACCAGGCGUGGUGGCACAUACCUGUAGUCCCAGCUACUCAGGAGGCUGAGGCAGGGAAUCACUUAAACCCAGGAGUCCUUACAAUCGAUUCAGUAACAUCUACCUUAAAGGGUCAUGAGCCGAGAUCACGCCACUGCACUCCAGCCUGGGCGACAGAGGAAGAUGCUGUCUCAAAAAAAAAGGAUUUGCCUUAAGACACUCUUAGCUUAUUUUUUAAUUGUUUGCUUAGUGCGCUCAUCCCUAUUACUCUCCUUCCCUUCCUUGUGGUAUAAAUUAUGAAUUAAACUUGCAUUUUGAGAAUCUGCUUGAGAAUCUACUCACCAUUCUUCCUACAGAAACAUGUAUUCAAUAAAAAUUCCUGACUGGCUCCUAUUUCCCAGGUCAUAGAGGUGCUAGGAAUAUGGUGGGAAGUGAGGUGGAGACAUCCCUGCCCUCAAGGAAAUUAGAUUGGAUGAGCCAACAUGCAAGGCAGGAAGAAAUAGAACCUAAAGCCCAAAAUACACACUGUCUGAAACAUUCCAUGAAGCCUUCUUGUGCAAAGUGAAUCCCCACUACCCGUGCUCCUUAUGCAGUCAGUGUAGAACGUACCGCAUUAGCCCAAAUAGAAGCGCAUCUCAGGGUUCUGUCAGAGUGCAUGUGAUACGUACUUCUAGAAAGACCAUGCCCUUGCACUCUGCCUCCCUCCCUCUCUCGUGUCUCUCUCUGUCUCUCUCUCUUCACCAUUAAAAAUGAACCUUGAGAAUUGGCUUCCAAGUCAGAAUUUGGGGGAAACCAACCUUAGAAGUGAUUCCUUACCCAUCAAAUUCACUUGCCUUUUGGCUUGUCUGGGGCAAAAGUGUUUAUAAACAAUAAACUAUAUUAUUUCUGUGA